RNAcentral lists this ribosomal RNA (468 nucleotides) under uncultured bacterium. Its description in RNAcentral is "partial 16S ribosomal RNA". It matches the Rfam family "Bacterial small subunit ribosomal RNA", at positions 28 to 507 of the family's 1533-position model. The record is from RNAcentral.
GACGAACGCUGGCGGCGUGCUUAACACAUGCAAGUCGAACGGAAAGGCCCUGCUUUUGUGGGGUGCUCGAGUGGCGAACGGGUGAGUAACACGUGAGUAACCUGCCCUUGACUUUGGGAUAACUUCAGGAAACUGGGGCUAAUACCGGAUAGGAGCUCCUGCUGCAUGGUGGGGGUUGGAAAGUUUCGGCGGUUGGGGAUGGACUCGCGGCUUAUCAGCUUGUUGGUGGGGUAGUGGCUUACCAAGGCUUUGACGGGUAGCCGGCCUGGGAGGGUGACCGGCCACAUUGGGACUGAGAUACGGCCCAGAGUCCUACGGGGGGCAGCAGUGGGGAAUAUUGCACAAUGGGCGGAAGCCUGAUGCAGCAACGCCGCGUGCGGGAUGACGGCCUUCGGGUUGUAAACCGCUUUCGCCUGUGACGAAGCGUGAGUGACGGUAAUGGGUAAAGAAGCACCGGCUAACUACGUG